RNAcentral lists this ribosomal RNA (253 nucleotides) under uncultured bacterium. RNAcentral's name for it is "partial 16S ribosomal RNA". It matches the Rfam family "Bacterial small subunit ribosomal RNA", at positions 524 to 776 of the family's 1533-position model. The record is from RNAcentral.
UACAGAGGUCUCAAGCGUUAAUCGGAAUCACUGGGCUUAAAGGGUGCGUAGGCGGACUCGCAAGUGCUUUGUGAAAUCCCACGGCUCAACCGUGGAACGGCUUGGCAGACUGCGGGGCUCGAGGUUGGUAGGGGCCGCCGGAACUCUAGGUGGAGCGGUGAAAUGCGUAGAUAUCUAGAGGAACGCCAAAGGUGAAGACAGGCGGCUGGGCCAAUUCUGACGCUGAGGCACGAAAGCGUGGGUAGCGAACGGG